UUCCGGUUGAUCCCGCCGGACCCGACUGCUAUUUGGGUGAGAAUAAGCCAUGCGAGUUGAAUGGGAUACCUAAAGUUCCCAUGGCAAACUGCUCAGUAACACAUGAUCAACUUGCCCUAUGGAGAAAAAUAACCUCGGGAAAGUAUCAUAGUGGUUAAUAAAAACUAUGAUACCCCGAUACUGAGGAUAAUGUUUCAUAGUUGAAUAGGCUUGGAAAAGUUUUUCAAUGAAAAGGAUAAAGAAAAUGGUCUUUAUUCGCCAUAGGAUAGGAUCGUGCUCGAUUAUGGUUGUUGGUGAGGUAACGGCUCACCAAGCCGAUAAUCGAUAGGGGCCGUGAGAGCGGGAGCCCCGAGAUGGGUACUGAGACAACGACCCAGGCCUUACGAGGCGCAGCAGGCGCGAAACCUCCGCAAUACACGAAAGUGUGACGGGGUUACCCAAAGUGUUCUAUUAAGAACUGUGGCAGGUGAGUAAUGUCCCCUGCUAGAAAGGAGAGGGCAAGGCUGGUGCCAGCCGCCGCGGUAAAACCAGCUCUUCAAGUGGUCGGGAUAAUUAUUGGGCUUAAAGUGUCCGUAGCCGGUUUAGUAAGUUCCUGGUAAAAUCGGGUAGCUUAACUAUCCGCACGCUAGGAAUACUGCUAUACUAGAGGGCGGGAGAGGUCUGAGGUACUACUGGGGUAGGGGUGAAAUCUUAUAAUCCUUGUAGGACCACCAGUGGCGAAGGCGUCAGACUGGAACGCGCCUGACGGUGAGGGACGAAAGCCAGGGGAGCGAACCGGAUUAGAUACGUCGGUGUUUGUAGCACGACGCUAAAAACCCGGGUAGUCCUGGCCGUAAACGAUGCAUACUAGUGAUGGCACGGCCAUGAGCCGUGUCAGUGCCGUAGGGAAACCGUUAAGUGUGCCGCCUGGAAGUACGGUCGCAAGGCUAAAACUUAAAGGAAUUGGCGGGGGAGCACCACAAGGGGUGAAGCCUGCGGUUCAAUUGGAUUCACGCCGGAAUCACUAGUGCGCCGCCUGCAGUCGACCAUAUGGGAGAGCUCCACGCGUUGGAUGCAUAGCUGAGUAUUCUAUAGUGUCACUAAAUAGCUGCGUAAUCAUGGNCAUAGCUGCUUUCCUGGGGUGAAAUUGUUAUCGCUCACCA
This 1142-nucleotide ribosomal RNA is filed under the name uncultured archaeon. RNAcentral's name for it is "bacterial SSU rRNA". It matches the Rfam family "Archaeal small subunit ribosomal RNA", at positions 1 to 1168 of the family's 1478-position model. The record is from RNAcentral.